Pseudopipra pipra is the source of this 692-nucleotide long non-coding RNA. RefSeq lists it as uncharacterized. The transcript is spliced from 2 exons. NCBI's taxonomy places the organism in Eukaryota, Metazoa, Chordata, Aves, Passeriformes, Pipridae. The record is from RefSeq and is a predicted model, not a curated record.
UUCUCUGAGAUUUUCUUCCUGGCUGAAAACAGCAGAAAGAAAAGUCAGCUAUAGCAGCAGGUACAACUUGUGACAAUCGUUCUACUUCUGGUCAUUUCCUACCAGGAGCAGAGCAGAGCAGCAGUUUUAAGUGGUGCAUCAGCUCGUGGGCCCAUCCUGCUAACUGUGCUUUGAAGCUUCUAAGGCAGGACAGAAGGGAGAUAUAUUGGUCACUGUUGUCUUCUGAGGAACUCUAGACAACCAUCUGUCUAUCGCAAGUUUAUUCAGAGCUCCCACAGGAAAUGUAUUUUUAACUAUUUCAAUUAUAGUUGUAUCAAUUGUUUUGCAAUUGUUACCUUGUAGCUCUUCCCUGCUGUAUCAACAUCUCCUUUUCUAGUCCCUUUUUAGAGAGAUCGUGAUCUUGUUCAUCUGUGACCCAGAUGAAGAACUUUCAAUGUAUUAUUUGCUGAGGAGCAAAACUAAGAGUUUGGGAAGCUAUAUUUUCAAGUGGUGCUUCUACCUACUGCUGUCUAAAUAUCCUUUUCAAGUAAAAGAUAUAAACACAAUUCUUCCCCAGCAAACUCUCUCCUUUGUUGUAACUCAGUGAAAAGCAUUUGUUGUAUAUUCGUGGUUGCUAUGAAUCUAUAUAAUCAAUUCUCAUUUUCUUUGAAUAUUUAAGUUAGGAAAAUAAAAUGUAAAUGAAUUAAAGAUAA